RNA transcript from Xyrauchen texanus (razorback sucker), 8019 nucleotides. It is a transcript of the gene named signal transducer and activator of transcription 1-alpha/beta-like, with no coding region annotated. NCBI's taxonomy places the organism in Eukaryota, Metazoa, Chordata, Actinopteri, Cypriniformes, Catostomidae. The transcript is spliced from 27 exons. The record is from RefSeq and is a predicted model, not a curated record.
GUAAAAAUUGCUUUAGCUGGAAGGGACAGCAGAGGGAGGUUUAUUAAAUUGCCAUCGGUUUCCUGAGAAGAGCAAGACUUGUGUUUAUUUACUAUUCAACUGAAUACAUUACAUUACUUCUCCCAAAGUGCAUACGAUUGCAGCAGAAUGACACAGUGGGAAAGCUUGCAGCGGCUGGAUACAGUGUAUCUGCAAAAGGUUUUCGAUUUGUACAAUGGAGAUGAAUUCUCUAUGGAUGUGAGACAUUACCUGGCUCAUUGGAUCGAGGGCCAGGACUGGGAGCGUGCCUCUCGGGACUCUUCCCAAGCAGUGCUUCUGUUUCAGGUGUUGUUGGAGAAUCUGGACAACCAGUUCAGUCGUUUUGCACAAGAGAAAGAAUCUUUCCUACUGCAGCGUAAUUUCCGACGUUACAAACAAAACUUUCAGAAGUAUCAAGAGGAGCCCUAUUCUCUAGCUGCUAUUAUCCACUGGUUCUUAGUAAAGGAGAAAGAAAUCCUGAAUGAAGCAGAGCUUGCUCAACAAGUGAAAAUGUUGCAGGUUCAACCAGCUGCAGUGGAGUUGGAAAGCCAGAGACACUUAGAAAAUAUUUUAAAAGCUCUGAAGACCAAAGUAGAGGUGAUGGAACACAACAUAAGGUGUUUGGAGGAGCACCAAGAUGAGUUUGACUUCAAAUAUCAGACACACCGAAUGGAGAGUGGAGCUUGCACAGAAGAAGAGGAAAAGAAGCAGACUGUAGGGCUUCAGAAGAUGCUUAACGCACUUGAUAAGUCUAGAAAGACCUUCCUAUCUGACAUGUCGAUUGUGUUGGACUCUGCUGAUUCUUUGCGCUCCGUACUUGUUGAUGAGGAACUGGUGGACUGGAAGCGGAGACAACAGAAGUCCUGCAUUGGCGCUCCAGAUGACACAAAUUUGGAACAAUUAGAGAAAUGGUUUACUCAGAUGGUGGACUCUGUUUUCCAGCUGCGGAAGUUUUUACAAAAGCUUGAUGAGCUGGUGGGGAAGAUGAGCUACAACAAUGACCCCAUUCCAGUGCAAAAGCCCAUCUUAAAUAACAGAGUGGACACUCUACUGACCCACCUGCUGAAGAGUGCAUUCAUUGUGGAGACUCAGCCAACAAUGCCACAAGGUCGAGGCUCACUGGUGCUGCGCACAAAUGUCCAGUUCUCAGUCAGAGUCAGAUUCUUGUAUAAAGUUCCUGAGCUCAACCAUGUUAUGAAGGUGACUGUCUCCACUGACAAGGGUGCUCCACAAGUAAAAGGGGUUCGUAAGUUCAACGUGCUGGGCACUUCGAGCAAAGCCCUUAACAUGGCUGAGAGUACGAAUGGGGGUAUGGUGGCUGAUUUCAGACAUUUGACUUUGAAAGAUCAGAAGGUUGGUGGUGGAGGAAAAGGAAUCAAUGAGCUUUCAUUGAGUGUGACUGAAGAACUACACAAAGUAAACUUUGAGACACAGUUUGACUAUCAAGGCCUGUCGGUCUCUUUGGAGACCUCUUCUCUUCCCGUUGUGGUGAUUUCAAAUUCUAGUCAGCAGCAGAGUGCCUGGGCAUCUGUUCUUUGGUUCAACAUGCUCUGUUCAGAUCUCAAGAACAUAACAUUUUUUGAGAGCUCCCCUGUAGCCUCCUGGUCACAGUUUGGGGAGAUGUUGAGUUGGCAGUUUCUCUCCUGUGGAAAACGGGGUCUGGACAACUAUCAGUUGGAGACCCUCGCCAUCAAACUUUUUGGCAAACAACAGAGUUAUGACAACUGUAAAAUAUCCUGGGGCAGAUUCAGUAAGGAGAAUAUCCCUGGUACAACCUUCACCCUGUGGGUGUGGCUGGAUGGUAUUCUCAACCUUGUUAAAAUGUACCUCUCAGACCUGUGGAGUGAUGGAUCUAUAAUGGGUUUUGUGAGCAAAGGAACAGAGAAGGUUUUAUUGAAGAAGAAGCAGAACGGCACUUUCCUGUUGCGUUUCAGUGAGAGUAUCAGAGAUGGUGGAAUCACGUUCAGCUGGGUGCAGUAUACUAACCAGGGCAAACCGGAUGUUCGAGCAGUGCAGCCAUUUACCAGUGCAGACCUGAAGCAGAUUGCUUUACCUGAGAUUGUCCGCAACUUUCAGAUCAUGGAAGCAGAAAAUGUUCCUAUUAACCCACUGUGUUAUCUUUACCCAAACACCCCUAAAGACGAGGCAUUCGGCAAGUACUACAGCGAAAAGACUGGAGAGGAGAAUCCUUACUUGAAAUACCUCAAAACCAAAUUGGUUUUUGUCUCGCAUAAAGAGAACGGAUGUACAAGCGUCAGAGAGGGGCCAGAUUCUGACCUGUGCACUCAGCACAGAGAAAAUAGUCAUAUGGGUUUGGAACAACAUAAAGACCCUCCCUUUUCUGAGAUGGCCAAUGAGGUCAUGCUCCAAGGGCCUGAGAAUUCACCCAUGCUUCCAAGCUCUACCAUUUAUGAUGACCUGCUUAACAGCAUUUUAGAGGAUCAAUUCAGUGAUCCACAAGUAUUCCCAGAGACCGUUCCCAACAUUUCAUCACCAUGCUUCGAAGAACCUCUUCCCAUGACUAGCGUAGAUGUCCUCUUUCAAGAAGCAUUCUCUCCUCCUGACACUGAUGGCAAUAUCACAUUGCAAGAGUUCCUAAACGAUCCGAACAUCCUGAAUGGAAUUAACCCUUCUUUCAUGCAGGAGGAGCCAGAGGACACAAUCCCUGAUCAUGGUCUUCAAGAUUUUGGUUUCCCUUUUAACAAGCCACUGACACCCUGAAUGUGACCCAUUUACCUUAAACCCAUGACCUAAUUGACAACUCAGUUUCACAUAAACAUUUUAACAUCUUAACCUUUUCUUCUUGCAGAUUUAAUAGUGUCAAGUUGCAUCAUUUCAAGCCGUUUUACAUAGAUCUGGUUCUGUAUCAGUGAUGCAACAUGCUUAUCACAGCUCAUAGCUUAAUUUACAAUAUUAAUUUCAUUUAUUUAGACUUCCAUAUAUAUCAGUCUGUUCUUACAAGUAUUUGUUACUGGUAUAUAUUCUCUGUUUUAACAGAAGCAAGCCUUUGACCCAUCCAAGUAAUAAACAAUGACGGCACUCUGGGAUGAGGUCAUGUGACCCAUUCCUACCAUUCGUAAGCUGCUAGUAAUUAUUUGUCUCUAGAAAAAUAAGUUAAGUGGAACGGGAUGAAAUGUUUUAUUGAAAAUAAUUCAAACUAUAUCACCGUACCUUUGUUUUAGAAGAGUACGUGGACAGGGGCCUGGUUAGCUCAGCGAGGGCGUGCAGAGAGACUCCAGCCAAGUCUCCUAAGCAACCAAAUUGGCCCUGUUGCUAGGGAGGCUAGAGUCACAUGGGUAACCUCCUUGUGGUCACUAUAAUGUGUGGUUCUCACUUUCUGUGGUUGAGUUGUGCAUGGAUGCCGCGGAGAAUAGCGUGAAGCCUCCACGCGCGUUGUGUCUCCGCAGUAACGUGCUCAACAAGACAUGUGAUAAGAUGCACGGAUUGACGGUCUCGGACACUGAGGCAACUGAGAUUCGUCUUCCACCACCAAGAUUGAGGCGAGUCACUACGCCACCACGAGGAUUUAGAGCGCAUUUGAAAUUCCAAAUUGAGGAGAAAAGGGGAGGAAAAAACUAAGAAAAAAAAGAAGAGAAUGUAGACAUUUCUGUUAUAUAGACUGUGUAAAAUUACAAAUCCCUACCAUUUGAUCCAAGUAAUGAUUCGUUAAACAGUAGUUUGUCCUGUUCUAUUCUAAAAAAAUCAAAAACAUUAAGAAACAUAGAGAGAUUAUUAUUGAAGAGAUAUAAUUUGAUCGUUUGAGCUGUAAACUUUAUUAAGUCCCUAAUAAUGUGUUAAUAGAUGUCAGCACCUUAAUGUCAGUCAGACGUUGCUUCCCAGGCAAUUUUUAAAGGCAUGUCAUGUACAGCAUUGUCAGUUCUGUGGUCACGUUGUGCAUAUAUUUAUGAUUGUAGAACAAAAAAAGUAUUGAAUCGUAAACUUAAGAAGAUAAAGUGUAAAACACAUGAAAAUGUCUUUACAAUAGCGUUUUUGAUUAUUUGUAUGCCUUGGUUUGGAAUUUGGGAAUUCGCAAACCUUAAAAGAGAUAAAAGUUAUAUUGGUUGUUGAGAUGUAAUCUCUUAAUGUUACACUGAGGGGAACAAUGAUUAUUAUGCUACUACAGUAGUCUUUUAUUUCUAAGGUUAUGCUUUUAUCUAAGUUCUGCCUCUUUGGAUUAUUUGUUAAUGAGAAACAAACAUAGCUAAAUGUUGCCCUAAAAAUUGUUGUGUGUAAAAUUAUUUUCUGUGAAAUGGUGAAUGUUUGUCUAGUUUUGAGGUGUUUUCUUUUUUUUUUUCCUCUUAAAGGCAACCUUAUAAUUUGUAUUUGUCCUUUAUAAUCAGAUUUUACACCAAUAUUGAUUUGGCACAAUGUAGAGAAGUGCCAGGAAAUAUUUUUGAAUAUUUUGUUUCGAGUCCGCUGGAUUUUCUUCUUUAUUUUUUUUAAUGGAGUUAAUCAUUUAAAAGGGAAUAUGAUGUUUUUACUAAAUUACACAACUUCAAGAAUAUAGAAAUGUUGGAUUUUCCUGUUUCCUGGAUAGGUGUUUAAACAGUAGGAAAGUUUUGAGUAGUCAUACACUGAUGUUAGCUUGGGAGUGGUACUUUUUCAGCACUUCCGGGUUCAAUACAAGUUGAGCUCAAUCGACAGCAUUUGUGGCAUAAUGUUUAUUACCAUAAAAAUACAUUUAGACUAGUUCCUCCUUAAAAAGAAAAGAAAACAUUGAGGUGAGGCACUUAUAAUGGAACUAAAUGGGUGGGCACAUUUUUUUUUAACAAAGUACAAAGACAAACAACGUGUGUAAACGUGAUUUUUAGUGUCAUAAAAUCACUUACAAACCAUUUCUGUGUGAAGUUUUAUUUUACAACUUUGUUGCCAUGAUGAUUUUAUGUCAACAAACCCUAAAAUGAUUGUAAAAACUACAAUUUGGUAACAUUACAGCUCCAAUAGGUCAUGAGUUUUAAAAAAAGAAUUAAUGAAUGUACAUUUAUAUAAUUAUAAUCUUCAAAUGUAUGCCUUUAAACCCUUGACAAAAUUGGCCCUAUUAAUUCCAUUGUAAGUGUCUCACUGUAACCGUUUGAUUUUAUUUUUUUUAUUUUUUUUUUCAAAGAAAAGUAUGAGCAUGUUGAAAUACAUUUUUAUGGUACUCAAUAUUGUGGCACAAAUGCUCUCGAUUGAGCUAAACUUGUACUGAAACUGAUUGUAUUUUAUCAUCUUAAACUGAAGAUAUAUUCUCUUAAUCUUUUGUGUUCCUGUUUAAAUAUAUAUUUUUUAAUUAUAUUUGUUUUAUAAAUCACAAAAUAGUUUGGUGUGACUUGUCCUGAAUGUCCUCUCUUGGUUGAAUUGUCAAUCCACAAUCAAAAACAGUGAGUUGUAAAUUCUAUGGGUGUCAUGGUAAUGGCCAUGUAAUUUAUAGCUUCAGUGUCAUGCUAGAAUGUCCAUAUUAAUAAUCCUUCAAAUUAAUUUGAAUUAAAUUGAUUGAAUGAUUUAUAAUAAUGCGCUGUCCUUGCAAAUGGCAGAGAAUUGCACUUAAGAUUAAAGGUACUAGCACGGAAUGAAAUCUGAAAUGACUGAAAUGACAUUUUGUGUCCAAAAGUAUUUGGGCAAUCUGAAAAAACUAAAUAAAUAUUUUUCCCCUCUGAUGAUUCACUCAAAAUAUAUCACCGGUAUGAUCAGUACCGCAUAAUACGCAGUCUGCGUGCGUAAGUCUACGGAAAGUCCACCAGCUGCCCUUGCACGUUAAUCGUUAUUCAAGGACCCGAAAGCAGUUGCGGACACAGACGAUCGCUUCAUAAACCAUUAUGAUAUAAUAGGUUGUAGUUGUUUUUUUUAUGCAUAUUUGUAUUUAUCAUGCACCAUCAUCACCCAAAUUAAACUGUCUGUCUUUGUAACAUCCCUCUGUUUGUUCCAAAUUUUAAUUCAUGUUCUGAAGCAUGUUGUGUGUUUUAUACACUCAAAAAUCAGUUAUAUACUAGAAAUUUGAUUGUAUUGUAAUUUAGGUUUUGUACCGUCUCUGUAGCGACUCUUUUUGUUUGUAAUGUGAGUUUGUUAGUAAUGGUGCAAUAUUCCCCCCAAAUAUACUAUAUAUAUAUUCAGAGUCAGAGACGGACCUUGUAAGGGAGGAGAUCGCUCAGCAUAUAUACUCCAGUCCAUUCAACAGUCAGUAUAUAGUUCUAAAAUUACGGUUAUUAUUUUUUUAUGUCUUGUUUUCUCGUGAUCUCGUCAUAACAAAAAGUUGUUUUUCUCGUGAUCAUAAGAUAAAUUAUCGCGAGAAAAAAUCUUGCGAUUUGAGAAUUUGAUUUGGUGCUGCAUGCAGGUUGUCAUCCUCCUCUUCCAUCAUAAUUAAUAUAAUUGCACGCUGUACUAAUGGACUUCAUCUUCGCUUUAAGAGAGCGGGGUGUCCCAGAGGAGACAAAAUGGAGGACGAUAAGAAAGCACAUUCUGUGAAAACACAGCUGUUGAAGUGACUGAGACAGCAGUGCCAGUGCCAGAAGAUCCACCUCAGUCAGCUAACUCUCAGGAGCCAACAGACACUGAAUUGUAUUUUGAAAACCCCAGAAAUGAGACUGAAAGUGAAACAAUUGUAGUCCGCAGAGUUCACUGUGUAAACUAUAUGAUUCAUGCUUUCUCAGACAAAAACGCCACAUGCCAAUGUAACAUUUAAACAUCUACUCAAAAAUGGUGAGGAAGAAGCUGCAAUUGGAGACUGAGUGUUCCAAGACUGUCUGGGACACGUUUUUUGCAACAAGAACUCGUGGAACAAGAUACCUACUCAACAUCACACUUACCAAGAAAGAGAGUGGGAAGCUGUCGCACACAUUUUGGCCAUUGGAUGGCUGCGCUUUGGAUACUUGCCAAUCCAGCUGAUGCCCUCAACUCUCAGUUCUCUGGUUAGCUGGACUUCCUUGAAAGACAUAAGGUCCAUGGACAGUGCCGGUCGAAUCUUCACAGAAAAACUCUUGUAGCCUGUUCACAUGGACUUUUUCCAUACCCAAAUCAGAUCUGAUUAUUUGUGAACAACCACCUCUUUCAGCAUCAGCACGGACAUAAUAUCCAGCAAUUACUCUAGGAUUAUUAUUGGUCCAGAUGACGUGCCUCGAGAAAACAUCAAUGCAGCCGUUAACUGCUAUGCCAUAUGGCUUUAGUUUGUCUUAUAAAUCCAUAUGCCACAGAUAGUUAGGGCCCGGUUCUCGGUAAUGUUGCCUCCGCAACCUUCUCCCUCUCCUUUCCUCCACACCUAAUGGAUCCAGACUUAACUGCACAUCUCUCACCAUUUCUGUGGUCAGCUGCAAGCCAUUUAAUCGGCAUCUAUCAAACAUCAUUCUGUAGCCAUGCAGACGUCCCGGUCCAUCAAUAUGGCUGGCAAUGAAAUUGACCAAACGUUCAGGGUCACUGUAUUUUCUACGACAAAUUUGUAGACGUGAUAGUCUUGUCUGGCACUAAUCUGGAUGUUGUCAAUGACUGAGCGACAUACAGCUAUUUCAGCUUGAGUGAGUCCUUGAUCAAAGUAAUGGUGCAUUCGUUCGUCCAUUAUGCAACAGAGUGUUUAGCUGUUGCCUCCUAAUUUGAAAACAACUUUUUGUUAUGUCGAGAUCUCGAGAAAACAAGACAGAAAAAAAUUAUAACGCAGGGCCUCUUUGAGCUGCUGUAACCAUGACAUUUAUCUGGUCAGGUAGAUUUUUUCAUAUGGCCUCUAUAGAAUGUUGAGAUUUUGUGCCAACAAAAUUUUUUUAAAAGAAAAAUCAAAUGGGUGACCAGUCAAUAUCAAUAUUCAAAUGAAUUGCUUGUUAUAUUUUACUCAUAUUCCACUGUGUUAUGUAUACACAUUCAGUUGAGAUAUUUGAAGAUUUACAAAUUAGAUUUUAUGUCUAAGAUUUUUACAAAUUAGAUAAAUUAAAUUUUGCUGCAUUCUGCAUUUGGUGUAAUCUGGUUAAGUAUGACCUUAAUGUAACAACAAGCACAUUUUUAUUGACUUUUUAGAGAUGAUUCAAGAGAAUUUGGUUUGGA